Molecule: ribosomal RNA, 433 nt
Filed under: uncultured bacterium
Lineage: Bacteria
Description: partial 16S ribosomal RNA
Rfam family: Bacterial small subunit ribosomal RNA
Source: RNAcentral
AACGAACGCUGGCGGCAUGCCUAACACAUGCAAGUCGAACGAGACCUUCGGGUCUAGUGGCGCACGGGUGCGUAACGCGUGGGAACCUGCCCUUAGGUUCGGAAUAACUCCCCGAAAGGGGUGCUAAUACCGGAUAAUGUCUUCGGACCAAAGAUUUAUCGCCUUUGGAUGGGCCCGCGUUGGAUUAGCUAGUUGGUAGGGUAAAAGCCUACCAAGGCGACGAUCCAGAGCUGGUCUGAGAGGAUGAUACGCCACACUGGGACUGAGACACGGCCCCGACUCCUACGGGAGGCAGCCAUGGGGAAUAUUGGCCAAUGGGCGAAAGCCUGAUCCAGCAAUGCCGCGUGAGUGAUGAAGGCCUUAGGGUUGUAAAGCUCUUUUACCCGGGAUGAUAAUGACGGUACCGGGAGAAUAAGCUCCGGCCAACUCCGUG